This 1700-nucleotide long non-coding RNA is filed under the name Macaca fascicularis (crab-eating macaque). Its description in RNAcentral is "lncRNA (ENSMFAG00000051216.1)". The record is from RNAcentral. Lineage: Eukaryota; Metazoa; Chordata; Mammalia; Primates; Cercopithecidae.
GAGUGGCCUGAGGGCAGGGACAGUGGGGGUAGGCAGGAAGGAUCUAUGAAACUCUGCCUCUGGUGCUUAUUAGAUGACUUUGAAAGCAAAAAACAUGCUUGAGACCAGUCUGGGCAGCAUGGUGAAACCCCAGCUCUACAAAAAAAUUAGUCCGGUGUGGUGACACGUGCCUAUGGUCCCAGCUACUCAGAGGCUGAAGCGGGAGGAUCGCUUGAACCCGGGAGGUAGAGGCUGCAGUGAGCCGAGAUCGUGCCACUACACUCCAGCCUGGGCGACAGAAUGAGACCCUGUCUCAAAAAACAGGAUGCGAUCACCAAUGGAGUAUAAAUGGAAAAGAGAUUGGAUUGAGCCCCAGGACACACCAGUUUAGAGGCCUUUGGAGAUGAAGGAAAAGCAGCCAAGGAGUUGGAGCAAGCCUGGUCGGGAGACGGGGAAAGAAUACCAUGAGAAUGAGGCAUUCUGGAAGGCACCUGGAACUGCUUCAAAGACGAGGCAGAGAUCAGCUAUAACAAAUGCUGCGGAUGUGUUCAGGAAAGACAAAGACUGGUUAGAAUUAACGUUGGGUGACCUUGGUAGGAGCAGUUACAGUGAUAUAGUGACAAUAAAAACCUGAUUUGUGUUUGGAUUCAAAAAAUCAGGAGGAGAGAUUUGGCAUAUCCAUACAAUGGAAAACUACUAAGCAAUAAAAAGGAAUGAACAAUGGAUACAACAACAUGAAUAAAUUUCAAAAUAAUUAUGUUGAGUGAAGGCCAAACACAAAAGAACACAUACUGUAGGAUUCCAUUUACAUAAAAUUCGAGAAAAUGCAAAUUAAUCUAUAGUGACAGAAAGCAGAGGUGUGGCGUUGCCUGAGGCAAAUGAGUGCCAUAAGGAAAGACUGCGACUAGGCAGAAGGAAACUUGGGGUGAUGGACGUAUUUACUAUCUUCUUUUUUUUUUUUUUUUUUGAGACGGAGUUUCACUCUCGUUGCCGAGGCUGUAUUUAUCUCCAUGCUACCUGUAUAGGCUUUUAAAUUCCCCGAGGAUGGAAAUCCCAUCUCCCUAAAGCUCUCCUUGAAGACGCUAGUACAGCAUCUUUUGAACCUGGGAGGCUGAGGUUGCAGUGAGCCGAGAUCGUGCCACUGCACUCCAGCCUGGGCAAAAGAGCGAGACUCCCUCUCAAAAAAAAAAAAAAAAAAAAAAGUAAAAACGUGGCCAGGCGCAGUGGCUCACGCCUGUAAUCCCAGCACUCUGGGAGGCCGAGGCGGGCGGAUCAUGAGGUCAGGAGAGAGAUGGAGACCAUCCUGGCUAACACGGUGAAAUCCCGUCUCCACUGAAAAUACAAAAAAUUAGCCGGGCAUGGUGGUGGCCGCCUGUAGUCCCAGCGACUCAGGAGGCUGAGGCAGGAGAAUGGAGUGAACCCCAGGAGGAUCGCUUGAACCCGGGACGCGGAGGUUGCAGUAAGCCGAGAUCUCGCCACCGCACUCCAGCCCGGGAGACAAAGCGAGACUCCAUCUCAAAAAAAAAAAAAAAAAAAAAAAAGAAUACGAGGCAUUAGCCAGGUGUGGUGGCGCACGGCUGUAAUCCCAGCUACUUGGGAGGCUGAGGUACGAGAAUCACUUGAACCCAGGAGGCGGAGGUUGCAGUGAGCAGAGAUCACGCCAUUGCACUCCAGCCUGGGCGACAGAGCAAGACUUCACCUCAAAAAAAAAAAAAAAAAAA